CCAGUACCGUGAGGGAAAGGUGAAAAGCACCCCUAGCGGGGAGUGAAAUAGUACCUGAAACCGUUUGCCUACAAGCAGUCGGAGCAGACUUUUGUCUGUGACGGCGUGCCUUUUGUAGAAUGAGCCAGCGAGUUACGGCAUGUGGCAAGGUUAAGCUAAAAAGCGAGCCGCAGCGAAAGCGAGUCUGAAUAGGGCGAGUGAGUCGCAUACCGUAGACGCGAAGCCAGGUGAGCUAUCCAUGAGCAGGCUGAAGCGGGGGUAAGACCCCGUGGAGGGCCGAACCCACUUAGGUUGAAAACUGAGGGGAUGACUUGUGGAUAGGAGUGAAAGGCCUAUCAAACCUGGAGAUAUCUCGUUCUCUCCGAAAUAGCUUUAGGGCUAGCCUCGGAUGUUUACCAAUGGGGGUAGAGCACUGAAUAGUUGCGGGGGCUUCACCGCCUACCAAGAUUAAUCAAACUCCGAAUACCAUUGGUCUAGAAUCCGGGAGUCAGAAUAUGUGGGCUAAGCUGUGUAUUCGAAAGGGAAACAGCCCAGACCGCCCGCUAAGGUCCCAAAAUCAAUGCUAAGUGGCAAAGGAUGUGCGUUUGCUCAGACAACCAGGAUGUUGGCUUAGAAGCAGCCAUUCAUUUAAAGAGUGCGUAAUAGCUCACUGGUCGAGUGGACAUGCGCCGACAAUAUACGGGGCUAAGCAUUGUACCGAAGCGGCGGAUCAGUACUUUGUACUGGUGGUAGGAGAGCUUUCUGUACGGGUUGAAGCAGUUGGAUAACCAACUGUGGACUGUCCAGAAGUGAGAAUGCUGGCAUGAGUAACGAGAGACAUGUAAAAAACAUGUCCGCCGUAAACCCAAGGUUUCCUGGGCAAGGCUAAUCCUCCCAGGGUUAGGCGGGAGCUAAGGCA
This 898-nucleotide ribosomal RNA is filed under the name Nanosynbacter sp. RNAcentral describes it as "Candidatus Nanosynbacter sp. partial 23S ribosomal RNA". It matches the Rfam family "Bacterial large subunit ribosomal RNA", at positions 495 to 1398 of the family's 2925-position model. Lineage: Bacteria; Bacillati; Minisyncoccota; Nanosynbacteria; Nanosynbacterales; Nanosynbacteraceae. The record is from RNAcentral.